AGCAUAUCAAUAAGCGGAGGAAAAAGAAACUAACAAGGAUUUCCCCUAGUAACUGCGAGUGAAGCGGGAAAAGCUCAAAUUUAAAAUCUGUCAGUCUUUGGCUGUCCGAGUUGUAAUCUAGAGAAGUGCUAUCUGCGCUGGACCGUGUACAAGUCUCCUGGAAUGGAGCGUCAUAGAGGGUGAGAAUCCCGUCUUUGACACGGAUUGCCAGGGCUUUGUGAUACGCUCUCAAAGAGUCGAGUUGUUUGGGAAUGCAGCUCAAAAUGGGUGGUAAAUUCCAUCUAAAGCUAAAUAUUGGCGAGAGACCGAUAGCGAACAAGUACCGUGAGGGAAAGAUGAAAAGAACUUUGGAAAGAGAGUUAAACAGUACGUGAAAUUGCUGAAAGGGAAACGCUUGAAGUCAGUCGCGUUGUUCAGGGAUCAACCUUGCUUUUGCUUGGUGUACUUCCUGGUUGACGGGUCAGCAUCAAUUUUGACUAUUGGAAAAAGUUCAAAGGAAUGUGGCAUCUUCGGAUGUGUUAUAGCCUUUGGUCGCAUACAAUGGUUGGGAUUGAGGAACUCAGCACGCCGCAAGGCCGGGUUUUAACCACGUACGUGCUUAGGAUGCUGGCAUAAUGGCUUUAAUCGACCCGUCUUGAAACACGGACCAAGGAGUCUAACAUGCCUGCGAGUGUUUGGGUGGAAAACCCGAGCGCGCAAUGAAAGUGAAAGUUGAGAUCCCUGUCGUGGGGAGCAUCGACGCCCGGACCAGACCUUUUGUGACGGUUCCGCGGUAGAGCAUGUAUGUUGGGACCCGAAAGAUGGUGAACUAUGCCUGAAUAGGGUGAAGCCAGAGGAAACUCUGGUGGAGGCUCGUAGCGAUUCUGACGUGCAAAUCGAUCGUCAAAUUUGGGUAUAGGGGCGAAAGACUAAUCGAACCAUCUAGUAGCUG
Molecule: ribosomal RNA, 931 nt
Filed under: Cortinarius sp. PDD 107692
Lineage: Eukaryota; Fungi; Basidiomycota; Agaricomycetes; Agaricales; Cortinariaceae
Description: LSU rRNA
Rfam family: Eukaryotic large subunit ribosomal RNA
Source: RNAcentral